GUGAGGAAUUUUCCGCAAUGGGCGAAAGCCUGACGGAGCAAUGCCGCGUGAAGGAUGAAGGCCUAUGGGUUGUAAACUUCUUUUCUCAGAAAAGAAUUAUGACGGUAUCUGAGGAAUAAGCAUCGGCUAACUCUGUGCCAGCAGCCGCGGUAAGACAGAGGAUGCAAGCGUUAUCCGGAAUGAUUGGGCGUAAAGCGUCUGUAGGUUGUUUAAAAAGUAUUCUGUCAAAGAUUAGGGCUUAACCCUAGAUAGGCAGAAUAAACUUUUAAGCUAGAGUUUGGUAGAGGCAGAGGGAAUUCCCGGUGGAGCGGUAAAAUGCGUAGAUAUCGGGAGGAACACCAAAGGCGAAGGCACUCUGCUGGGCCAAUACUAACACUGAGAGACGAAAGCGAGGGGAGCAAAUGGGAUUAGAAACCCUAGUAGUCC
Molecule: ribosomal RNA, 426 nt
Filed under: uncultured bacterium
Lineage: Bacteria
Description: partial 16S ribosomal RNA
Rfam family: Bacterial small subunit ribosomal RNA
Source: RNAcentral